Molecule: transfer RNA, 82 nt
Filed under: Rhipicephalus microplus (southern cattle tick)
Lineage: Eukaryota; Metazoa; Arthropoda; Arachnida; Ixodida; Ixodidae
Description: tRNA-Ser
Rfam family: tRNA
About the family: Transfer RNA (tRNA) molecules are approximately 80 nucleotides in length. Their secondary structure includes four short double-helical elements and three loops (D, anti-codon, and T loops).
Source: Rfam by way of RNAcentral
GACGAGGUGGCCGAGAAGUUAAGGCGAUGGACUGCUAAUUCAUUGGGCUCUGCCCGCGUGGGUUCGAAUCCCAUCCUCGUCG